UGAUUUGUCAUGUAUACUUGACAGUUGUUGCCAUUUUUAUAAUUCGUCUAUUUUACUUGUUUUUGAUCGUUCAACUAAUGCAAGGGAAUUGAAGUUCAGUUUAAUUCUACUGAAACAACCAAUGUUCAUGUGGGUGUGGUUUUUCGUGAAUUAUAUUUUUGAUUUGUUUUUUUCGUCAUGGCCUUAUAACAUUGUACAAUUAAUUUUCAACCGAUGAGUGAGGGAAACUGGAUAUUUAUUGGAAUUCCACUGAAAUAACAAAUUUUCUCAAAUGGUGUUCUUCCUGGACUUUGUUUGCAUUUUAUACCAGCAAACUUUGGAAUGUUAGUCUACAAUUAAUUAAGAUCGACGGUGGAGAAGGCAAAGAAGACCCCGUAGUUAGAAAAUUCCUUCAUAAGUUCAUUUUCAUUUGAAAUAAUUAUUGUUUUACUUGUUCAUUUUAGUUUAUUUAUUUGAAUUAAUUUUUGUUUGUAGUAGUAGUGGAGAUACUAACAAGUUUUAUUUUUUUAAUCCCUAGUAAUAGUAGAAGUUGUCUAACAUUGCUUGCCUCUUCACUUAGCUUACUGCAUAUUCCUACUGUUUUGCUUUACAUUUACCCUAUACACUUUUUGCGAGUCUACUCUAGCGUUACUUCCUUUCAGACAGGGUACAGUGGGUUAUCUGGAAUAGGAACAAUAGGCGACUGCCCAGCUUGCCUUGGCGAAAUCUGUCCGAUCAUCUCUACCAAAGCUAUUAGUAUUUGCCGUUCUAAUUUUGUAGUAUUUGCUUUCAGAUUAUGAGAUAUUCCUUGAGAAGAAUGAAGAACAUCGUAUUUUUUGCUUUUUAUUAUAUUUUCCUUGAAAUGUCAUUUGUUUUGUUGUCUUUUUGUACUAGUAUUUUGUUUUUUUCUACAUAUACUGUCAUAUUAUAUUAAUCGUACUUAGGCUGAUAGUUAAAACUUUUUUAAAUUAAUCUUUUGACCGUGCUCAUUUUAGUUCAUAUUUGUUUAAAUUAAAUUGAAAAUAAUUUGGGUGGAUAGGGUGGUUAUAAGGGGAGAUGUGAAGGCCACAGAAGG
Long non-coding RNA from Agrilus planipennis (emerald ash borer), 1054 nucleotides. RefSeq lists it as uncharacterized. The transcript has 3 exons. Lineage: Eukaryota; Metazoa; Arthropoda; Insecta; Coleoptera; Buprestidae. The record is from RefSeq and is a predicted model, not a curated record.